AAACUCAAAGGAAUUGACGGGGGCCCGCACAAGCGGUGGAGCAUGUGGUUUAAUUCGAUGAUACGCGAGGAACCUUACCAGGGCUUAAAUGCAUAUUGACAGGGUCAGAGAUGACUUUUCCUUCGGGCAAUUUGCAAGGUGCUGCAUGGUUGUCGUCAGCUCGUGCCGUGAGGUGUCAGGUUAAGUCCUAUAACGAGCGCAACCCCUGCCGUUAGUUGCCAGCAUGU
This 227-nucleotide ribosomal RNA is filed under the name Oxyrrhis marina. RNAcentral's name for it is "partial Bacterial small subunit ribosomal RNA". It matches the Rfam family "Bacterial small subunit ribosomal RNA", at positions 897 to 1126 of the family's 1533-position model. Lineage: Eukaryota; Dinophyceae; Oxyrrhinales; Oxyrrhinaceae. The record is from RNAcentral.